Non-coding RNA from Anas platyrhynchos (mallard), 1239 nucleotides. NCBI's taxonomy places the organism in Eukaryota, Metazoa, Chordata, Aves, Anseriformes, Anatidae. The record is from RefSeq and is a predicted model, not a curated record.
UGUAACUAGGCCCCCUUGAAAGGUUAUUUUGGGGCACCCAGGAACAGCUUAAAUUUGCUCCUCCUGGUCUAUGGCAGCUUCCCCUGGCUGCCACUGAGGCUUGUCAGCUGCUGCCAUUGGAAAUGCAGUUUGCAUCUCACCACAUCAAUAAAGGGUUCGCCUGCAUCAUUUGCUGUGACAGCCAAGCAGCCCUCUUCAAGACCGGGAAGGAGGAAACCGUCCAUUGUGGCUUCCAGAUUGGCGAUCUCUGAAGCACAUAUGCAUAAGCAAGCAUGCCCAGAAUGCCAGAAAAAUAGUAACUAAGACUAGCACUGGCUGCCCCAGCAAGUCUGUAUGAUAUAGAGCAGUAUGUAUGAGGUUCAAUGGCUAGAACCAGACCCACCUGUAACAGCAUUUUAAACAGCUGGCUGUUCUCCUUACUAUUUCAAAUUUCUACAAUUUCCUUUCAUGUGCUCUAUCACAUUUCUCUCUCAGGCCUGCACAAGUCCUUUCUGUCCUUCCCAGAAGGUGAUGCACUUGCUUCUCCAGGGUUUCUCUUGCUGGCUGGGCCUCCCCACAUGUGCUCUGAAUCAAGAGCCACAGAGCUGAAGAGGCUGAAAUUCAGCAAGCCUGUGGUAAAUUGGGAAAACGGAAGGGGAGAUGUUCUUCGACAACAUGUACACAAAAAAAGGAAAGCUGAGAUUGUUUAAAGGUUUCAAGGAGGGAAUUUGUGAUCAAUUUUGACACAUUAAUGGGAAGCAAAUAUUGGCCAUUUAGGGUACAUGUGGGAUAGGUGCAAUAAAUAAAGGAAAAUGAAUGCUUGUGAUCAGAAUAUGCAAAAUCAUCUGAUGUGCAACUAGAAGGACAAGCAAAUGCCUAGGCAUCUUUUUUUUCAUUACCAUGUUUUUCCCAUCCUGCAGGUGAACUUGUUGCAACUGGCUCUCCUAAAUGUUUCAUAAAUUAGCAAAGCCUGAAGGCAACCAGACCCAAACAUUAAAAAUAUAUAAUUAUAACAAUAAUAAUAAUAACUCAUGCAAUUAUUUUGCAAAACAGACAUGCUCAAUAAAAAAAAGAAAAAAAAAAAAGAAAGGAAGGAAGAAAAAAGCUGGCUUGGGUGCUUGACUGAAUUUGGCUGACUUGGGUACACACUGACUUGGGUACUCCAUUUUGAAAGAAGGCCAUUGUGCACUUUUGACACCAUGAUGGGUAGGACAAAAGCCUUUUCUUUAGAACACUGGUUUGUAGAGAUAAAUCUGAACU